UAGGGAAUUUUCGUCAAUGGGGGAGCCCUGAACGAGCAAUGCCGCGUGUGUGAAGAAGGUCUUCGGAUCGUAAAGCACUGUUGUAAGUGAAGAAUGCCAUAUAGAGGAAAUGCUAUGUGGGUGACGGUAGCUUACCAGAAAGCCACGGCUAACUACGUGCCAGCAGCCGCGGUAAUACGUAGGUGGCAAGCGUUAUCCGGAAUCAUUGGGCGUAAAGGGUGCGUAGGUGGCACGAUAAGUCUGAAGUAAAAGGCAACAGCUCAACUGUUGUAUGCUUUGGAAACUGUCGAGCUAGAGUGCAGAAGAGGGCGAUGGAAUUCCAUGUGUAGCGGUAAAAUGCGUAGAUAUAUGGAGGAACACCAGUGGCGAAGGCGGUCGCCUGGUCUGUAACUGACGCUGAGGUUCGAAAGCGUGGGUAGCAAACAGGAUUAGAUACC
Molecule: ribosomal RNA, 437 nt
Filed under: uncultured bacterium
Lineage: Bacteria
Description: bacterial SSU rRNA
Rfam family: Bacterial small subunit ribosomal RNA
Source: RNAcentral